This is a long non-coding RNA of Triticum aestivum (bread wheat), 2584 nucleotides long. RefSeq lists it as uncharacterized. The record is from RefSeq and is a predicted model, not a curated record. Lineage: Eukaryota; Viridiplantae; Streptophyta; Magnoliopsida; Poales; Poaceae. The transcript is spliced from 11 exons.
CUCACGCCUCGCUCCAUCUCCGCCCGUGCGCUCCGCCACCGCCGCUGCCAUACCGCUCCUCCUCCCAUUGGUUUCUCUCCUCUUCUAGCUGCCUCUCCUCCAGCCGCAUCGUCGACCAUCUUCCUACCUCUUUCUCCCGUCCCCGCAAGGCAGUGCCUCCCCACGUUAUCGAUGCGGCGUUGCCGUGCAUGGUGGUUUCAGAUCAGGCGCAGGUCGCAGCCAUGUAGUUAAGGGGCGGCGUGGUUUCUCUGAUGCAUAUGGAGGAUUGGGGGAGGGUGAGCAUGACGGACAUGUGGGAAGCCGCAACAAGCCUGGAGCUGCAGCGGCGCUCGCGUCAAGGUGGUGUGGAGCCGUUAUUCACUACCCACCGCUGGUUCCGAAUUCAUCCCUCAACCCCAGUUUAGGUGUAUAGAUCAAACUAAGAAGAGAAGAGGAAGGAUGUUGUGGAAGAGUGAAGAACAAGAUAUGUGCAUACCAGGAAGCAUGUUGAUGAAGAGUGAAUAACAAGGUGAACUUUCUUUUGUGGACUUUAUCUCUGGCACAAUACGCGGGGACUCAGGUGACAAUGAAUAGCGGGAGGAUGCCGGUGGCAGCGGAAAGAGCAGGCCGGUGAGGAGGGAAAGCAACACGGGAAUGUAUAUAUUUCUUCACAUGAACUUCACUAUUUUGCAACAUGUAUUCCAUUUUCACGGAUUAUUCUUUUGUACUUUUGUUUUUAUCUAAUCCAUUCCAACCUUUUAACUGAUGAUGUUUGAUUCACUACUAUUUUGGUUGAUGAUAGAUUAAGAAGGAUAUGAUUAUGAAGCUUGUGCUUCUUCCAAUAUGCCCUCAGUACUCUAUAUCAACAAGUGAGUCUAGCAGCCGCAUUCUCCGACGCUUUAUAUAUUUUCAUGGAUAGGGUUUGGGUGGCCUGAUGAGAGCAGCCCAGUGUCUGCACCUCUGCAGCCUCGCCAACGUUGAUAGUCACAGGUACCAUCUCUUUACCCCAUCCAGUUCUUUCCUUCCAUUUGAUUCAGUUUCUUUUACAACUGAAUCAAGUCUCGAGGUGGAUGUGUGAGCUCUACACGAAGAUCGGUCAGGACGAUCUACGACUACAAGGCACCUAAAAAAAUCCAUACUUUCUAGGUGUUCUUGGGAUGAACUAAUGUGAAAUCGUUCAUCAUCUAGCAGUUUCUAUGUAAACAGUUGGAUCAACUUCUCACUUGUAUGCUCGGGCUGUUAUUUUUCUUCACCAUCUUAGUCAUGAGAUUAUGCAUGCCUCUUUAGGUAAUGGAGAAUAAAUGUAUUUUAGCUGGAGGUAAGUACCCAGAUCAACUUUGAUUUGUGUUCUUGCAUGGCCCUUUUGUUUUACCUUUCAACCUUAGCAUAGAAAUAGGUCAGUUUCUCUUAUUAACUUCUUGUGUUUGGAUAUAUGGUUUUGAAAACGUAUGCCAUUGUUUUACAAAGAUUGCCUGAUAAUUUAAUCAUAUAGUUGAAAUUUAGUAAAAUAUGUCCACUUCGUAGAUAUUGAGACGACCCACGAAUAGAGUCGAAUUAUCUAUGUUUUUGAGGCGAUGUAGAUUUCAUCCGAUCUCUCUAUUCGUGCUUUGUGAGAAGAUUUCAGCAAAGCUUUCUAUUCAUAUAGUUAUUUAUUAUGCGCUUAAAAUUUUGUUCUAGCAGUCACCCCUUGGUGCUUAAAUUAAGGUUCUCGGUUUUAGUGCUCUUCAGGUCCAUGCAUGAUAAUCAGUUUUUACUUUGUGUACCCUGUCUGUGGUGCGUGCCGUCUUGCAGCGUGGAUAAACCUUUGAUCUUGAUUUUUUGUCAAAGUUUUGUCAGCAAACACAUCGAGACAUUGGAAGAAGAAGACGUGGUGUACAAAUAGUUGGCUUUACAGUCUGGCAUUAAGCACCGGGGAGUUCCUUCUUUUGGUGUUGAGGUCACAUUCAUUUCAGAUCCUGUGGAUAUUACCAAAAUCCUGCCUUAUGUUUGCACAAUUGAUAGUUUCUAACCUCAGAGGCUCGGCAGGUUGGUCCGAUCUUUUGUAUGGGGCAGGCUUCAGGCCAACGGAAGAUGAUUUACCGGGUGACUGCCGCUACAGGUCUUCGGGGCUCCGUGUGCCACCUGGGACAUUUUGUAUGAAUUUUGGAGAUUCUCUGGUUGUUGAACAUAUACCAACUCCUCUUUUUUUUAAUCCAGUAUGAUUCUUGAUCCUACAAAAUUGCAAGUUAUUGCAGCUUUUCAUGGUGUGGUCUCUGGUGUCACUUACUAAGCUUGACUGCAGUAUGCACCUUUUAGAGUUUGCUGAUGAGGUCUAUGGGACAAAAUUGCUGAAUGAUUUUGGAAUCCCCAGAGUUUACGUCCCCACGGUGAGUUCUGGUCAAACCAAUAUCUUAGUAUGCAUGUUAGCGAGUUCAUUUCUCGCAUGGAGAAGUGUUUGUUUGGAAUUCUCAUGGUGCAUCUGCCUAGCUUGGAUUCCUUUCGAGUUUACACUCCAAUCAGUUGGUUUUUAGUAUAUCUGCAUGUACCUAGGUUGUAGCAGCACCAACGUGUUGGAAAUAUGCCCUAGAGGCAAUAAUAAAUGGUUAUUAUUAUAUUUCUUUGUUCA